GGCCCUAUGGUCAAGCGGUUAAGACACCGCCCUUUCACGGCGGUAACUCGGGUUCGAGUCCCGAUAGGGUCACCA
Molecule: transfer RNA, 75 nt
Filed under: Clostridiales bacterium
Lineage: Bacteria; Bacillati; Bacillota; Clostridia; Eubacteriales
Also listed under: 3 other names
Description: tRNA-Glu
Rfam family: tRNA
About the family: Transfer RNA (tRNA) molecules are approximately 80 nucleotides in length. Their secondary structure includes four short double-helical elements and three loops (D, anti-codon, and T loops).
Source: RNAcentral